AGGGCAGACGGUGGAUGCCUUGGCUCUCGGAGGCGACGAAGGACGUGAUAAGCUGCGAAAAGCCCGGGGGAGGCGCAAAUAGCCCUUGAUCCCGGGAUAUCCGAAUGGGGCAACCCGGCAGGCUGAAGGCCUGCCAUCCCGUAAGGGAGGCGAACGUGGGGAACUGAAACAUCUAAGUACCCAUAGGAGGAGAAAAUAAACAAUGAUUCCGUAAGUAGUGGCGAGCGAACACGGAAGAGCCCAAACCCAUGUCGUCUAGGCGACACGGGGGUUGUAGGACCACGACGUGGCAAGAAGGAAGGGAAAUGGAACGACUUGGAAAAGUCGGCCAUAGACGGUGAAAGCCCGGUACAUGACUCCCUUACGAAGCCUAGUGGUAUCCUGAGUAGCGCGGGGCACGAGAAAUCUUGCGUGAAACAGCGGGGCCCAUCCCGUAAGGCUAAAUACUCCCGAGAGACCGAUAGCGAACCAGUACCGUGAGGGAAAGGUGAAAAGCACUUCGAACAGAAGAGUGAAAUAGUUCCUGAAACCGUGCGCCUACAAGCGGUCGGAGCUCGUUAAUGAGUGACGGCGUGCCUUUUGCAUAAUGAACCUACGAGUUGCCUUUGCCGGCAAGGUUAAGUGUGACGACACACGUAUCCGAAGCGAAAGCGAGUCUGAACAGGGCGUAUAGUCGGCAGUGGCAGACGCGAAACCAAGUGAUCUACCCUUGGCCAGGUUGAAGGCUGGGUAACACCAGCUGGAGGACCGCACCAAUAAGCGUUGAAAAGCUUCUGGAUGAGCUGAGGGUAGGGGUGAAAGGCUAAUCAAACUUGGAGAUAGCUCGUACUCCCCGAAAUGCAUUUAGGUGCAGCCUUGCGGGUUACUGAUGUGAGGUAGAGCGACUGAUAAGAUGCGAGGGCUUCACCGCCUAUCAAGUCUUGACAAACUCCGAAUGCGCAUCAGUUCUACCGCAGGAGUGAGGGCAUGGGUGCUAAGGUCCGUGCCCGAGAGGAGAAGAAUCCGGACCACCUGCUAAGGUCCCGAAAUGACAGCUAAGUUAAACUAACGAAGUCUGACUGCUAAGACAGCUAGGAUGUUGGCUUGGAAGCAGCCAUUCAUUUAAAGAGUGCGUAACAGCUCACUAGUCGAGGAGUCGGGCGUGGAUAAUAAUCGGGUAUGAAGUUGUCUACCGAAGCAGUGGGAUCAUUUAUAUGAUCGGUAGGGGAGCAUUCCAGUCGGCGUCGAAGGCGUACCGUGAGGUAUUCUGGAGCGUCUGGAAAAGCAAAUGUAGGUAUAAGUAACGAUAAAGGGGGCGGGAAACCCCCUCGCCGAAAGACUAAGGUUUCCUGAUCAACGCUAAUCGGAUCAGGGUCAGUCGGGUCCUAAGGCUCAGCCGAACGGCGAUGCCGAUGGCAGAAACGGUUAAUAUUCCGUUACUACCUUCAGGAGUGACGUGGAGACGCAGUAGUGACAGUGCCGCCAUCUGACGGAAUAGAUGGUUGAAGGGUGUAGGAGUCGAUCAUGGCAGGCAAAUCCACCAUGAGAUCCGAACCUGACAGUAUGCCGCGUCCUUCGGGACAAGGCAAUAGUGCGCGUAAGCAUGCUGCCGAGAAAAUCCGCUAAACUUAAUCCUGCAGGUACCCGUACCGCAAACGGACACACGUAGUCGGGAUGAAUAUUCUAAGGCGCUUGAGUGAUUCACGGUUAAGGAACUAGGCAAACUGACCCUGUAACUUCGGGAUAAAGGGUCCCUACCCUUUUAUGGGAGGGCGCAGAGAAUCGGUCCAGGCAACUGUUUAACAAAAACACAGGGCUGUGCCAAAUCGAAAGAUCCAGUAUACAGCCUGACACCUGCCCGGUGCUGGAAGGUUAAGAGGAGAUGUCAUCGAUAAGAGAAGCGUUGAAUUGAAGCCCCAGUAAACGGCGGCCGUAACUAUAACGGUCCUAAGGUAGCGAAAUUCCUUGUCGGGUAAGUUCCGACCUGCACGAAUGGUGUAAUGAUCUGGACGCUGUCUCAACCGUGAGCUCAGUGAAAUUGUAGUAUCGGUGAAGAUGCCGAUUACCCGCGAUGGGACGAAAAGACCCCGUGAACCUUUACUAUAGCUUAACAUUGAAUUUGGGUAAUUGAUGUGUAGGAUAGGCCGGAGACUUUGAAGCAGGUACGCCAGUAUUUGUGGAGUCGCUGUUGAAAUACGGCCCUUUGAUUAUUUGAGUUCUAACUCGUAGAUACGAGGACACUGUUUGGUGGGUAGUUUGACUGGGGUGGUCGCCUCCAAAAGUGUAACGGAGGCUUCUAAAGGUGCCCUCAGGACGAUUGGUAACCGUCCGUAGAGUGUAAUGGCAUAAGGGCGCUUGACUGGGAGACAGACAAGUCGAUCAGGUAGGAAACUAGAGCAUAGUGAUCCGGUGUUUCCGUAUGGA
RNAcentral lists this ribosomal RNA (2403 nucleotides) under human gut metagenome. RNAcentral describes it as "bacterial LSU rRNA". It matches the Rfam family "Bacterial large subunit ribosomal RNA", at positions 14 to 2437 of the family's 2925-position model. The record is from RNAcentral.